AGCUGACGUCACGCCCAGACGUCCCAAGGUAUGAGCUGUAGAUACGCACGUGAGCGCUGGUGGGAGACGCCAGGCUGGGAUUUCCGCUCGAUCUGGGAAUGAGCAAUGCAACCUAAUGACACCCAGAGCUCCUGAAUCACCCGAGGAAAAUGACGAGAGACUCCCUCCGGUGGGAACGUCUCCUAGAAACAAGGCCUAAGAUGGGGCGACAACAGCCCCACAGCUGUGUCCAGAUGCAGGGAGCACUCGCCUGUGCUGUAAGUCUGUCCCACAGUGGAGAAAAGGCUCAGACCCCACGGCUCUGCUGUCCACCCUCAGUGCGGGGGAGAGGGGGGAUCCAUAUCGGCAGUCAAGGAGCGGGAAUCUGAAAAGGCCAAGGCUGAACCCUGCACAGAACCCAGACCUCCGUGUGCCUCCAGAAACAGCCGAGGCUGGGCCUUCCUUGAGAUACUCUUCAACUUCAAGGCUCUUCUCACCUGAGCUCCUUGGAAGCUGUCCCAGACAGCUGCUGGUCCCUCCUCUGUCCCCACUGUGCAGAGUGUGGCCCCACUGGAGAGACUGUUUUUCCCCCCGUGUAUUGGAGUCAGUCACCCUCACCUGGAAGAAUGGGACUGUUGAAUUGAGGCAUCAUGGGUCACUUCCAUCCCAGAGCGUUUGAUUUGAGUGGUGAGGGACGGCCGGUGUCAUCGUUGGAGCUUCCUAAGAGUCCCAGAGGCUGAUGCACCUCCCAGACUCUCCUCGGCCCGGCUCCCUGGGCCCUGCUCCAGGGGCUUCAUUGCUCCCUGCCCCGGGUCACCCCUCGGCUCACCGUCUCUCAGGUGUGGAAUAUCCUGCUCCAAUCAAAGCCAUGUCACCUGCGUUGUCCAGUGAAACAUCAGUGGACAGGCGCUGCCCGGGCUCCAGGGAGCUCCUCACUGAGGCUCACUCCCUGUGCCUCUGCCAUCAGCACAGGGGGACAUGCCUGGCUGCCUGUGGGACCAGGGAGGACGCGCGGUGCGGGAGCAGAGCCAGCCACACUGCCGCUGCUGCACUGUUCAUCUGAGUGGCGCAAGAUUCAGUGCCUGCGUCAUAGAAGGGUCCGUGUCAGUAAGGAAGUGAAAAGCAAGAUGGAAUACUGGAACUCUCCUGGCAGAUUGUCUGAAGUCAAUGUGUUUUCUGGUUAUGUGUUUCAGCUGCGAGUUUUUCAAAUUGUUGCAAAUCUUCAAACAUUUUUCCAACAAAUUUACUGAAAAAAAUCCACAUAUAAGUGGCACCCCCACCAGUUUAAACCUGUGUUGUUCAAGAGUCAGCUAUUUUUAUGAGGUGUUUUCAAAAGUUUAUGGAAAAUGAAUCUUAUGAAUAAAACUAUGCAUGGAUUUCAAAUCUUUUGCACCAAAAUAAACUCAUACUAACUUGUUAUAAAAUGUCUGAGUUUUAUACAGUUUAGUUUGAGACACUAAGAAAGAUAAGACAUCAGUUUGGAAAGGGUCAUCAGAGCAACGUGAAUUAUGCAAAACUGAAGCAAAAACAAACACCAAAUUUAUGGUGAAGGUUAGGUAGAGGAAUGGUGAAGUCAUUGAUGCUUUCUAAACAGUUUAGGUGGAUAAUGCCCCACAGAAAGCAGCCAUUUACAAAUGGUUACGCCAUUUUAAGAAGGAACAGGAUGAUGUUGAACAUGAAGCCUGCAGCAGCAGACCACAUCAAUUUGAGAGGAAAAAAUUAAUCUUGCUUAUGCCCUAGUUGAAGAGGACUGGUGCUUAGCAGCACAAACAAUAGCCAACACCAUAGACACCUCAAUUGGUUCAGCUUUCCCAAUCCUGGCCAAAAAAUUAAAGUUGAGCAAAUUUUCUACGUAAUGAGUGCCCAAACUUGCACCCAGAUCAGUUGCCAACCAGGGCAGAGCUUUCAAUGGAAAUUUUAAGCAAGAGGGGGAUGAAGAUCUUGAAGCAUUGCUUUGAAGAAUUGUAACAGGAGAUGAAACAUGGCUUUGCUAGUACCAUUCUGGAGACACAAUCAAAGCAAUGGCUACCAAGAGGUGGAAGUGCUGCAGUCACAGCAAACGUGGCCACCCAAGAGCAAAGGUCAUGGCAACAAUUUUGGGGAAUGUUCAAGGCAUUUUGUCUGUUGACUUUCUGGAGGGCCAAAGAACAAUAACAGCUGCUUAUUAUGAGAGUGUUUUGAGAAAGUU
Molecule: long non-coding RNA, 2167 nt
Filed under: Homo sapiens (human)
Lineage: Eukaryota; Metazoa; Chordata; Mammalia; Primates; Hominidae
Description: HSALNT0371836
Source: RNAcentral